RNAcentral lists this long non-coding RNA (326 nucleotides) under Malus domestica (apple). RNAcentral describes it as "long non-coding RNA (MDOM_LNC012000)". The record is from RNAcentral. Lineage: Eukaryota; Viridiplantae; Streptophyta; Magnoliopsida; Rosales; Rosaceae.
GCAAAAGCAAAGUAGAACACCUGCAAAGCAAAUCACGUAGAAUUCCCACUUGCAAGUCAUUUUCAAAGAAAGUAACAAUAAACUUCAAGUAUGGAGGAAUAAGGUUGCAGAGAAGAAAGACAACAACCAACCCGUCUCCAUUAUUUGUGUUGCCUCAGUUCACUUGCCACUGAAACUCUACAAAGGAGCAACCCGACCGCCGCCGUCAUUGUCUUGAAGUCAAGGAAAAAUUGUCUUGGAAGGGAAGGAUGUACUGCCGACAUAGAACACCAAAACAAAUUGUGCGGGCUGCUGUUUAAGUUAUUAGGAAAAGAAGACGAUGUAGA